ACGAACGCUGGCGGCGUGCUUAACACAUGCAAGUCGAACGGUGAAGCGCCUUCCUUUUUGGUGGGUGUGGAUGAGUGGCGAACGGGUGAGUAACACGUGAGUAACCUGCCCCCUUCUUCUGGAUAACCGCAUGAAAGUGUGGCUAAUACGGGAUAUUCUGGGUCUGUCGCAUGAUGGGUCUGGGAAAGAUAUUGUUUCGGUGGGGGAUGGGCUCGCGGCCUAUCAGCUUGUUGGUGGGGUGAUGGCCUACCAAGGCGGUGACGGGUAGCCGGCCUGAGAGGGUGGACGGUCACACUGGGACUGAGACACGGCCCAGACUCCUACGGGAGGCAGCAGUGGGGAAUAUUGCACAAUGGGCGCAAGCCUGAUGCAGCGACGCCGCGUGAGGGAUGGAGGCCUUCGGGUUGUGAACCCCUUUCGCCAGUGAAGCAGGCCUGCCUCGUUUGUGGGUGGGUUGACGGUAGCUGGAUAAGAAGCGCCGGCUAACUACGUG
RNAcentral lists this ribosomal RNA (493 nucleotides) under uncultured bacterium. RNAcentral describes it as "partial 16S ribosomal RNA". It matches the Rfam family "Bacterial small subunit ribosomal RNA", at positions 29 to 507 of the family's 1533-position model. The record is from RNAcentral.